UUUCCGUAGGUGAACCUGCGGAAGGAUCAUUAUUGUAUAACCGAGGUGCGAGGGCUGUCGCUGACCCGAAAGGUCGUGCACGCCCGUGUGCCCUCACACACAUCCAUCUCACCCCUAUGUGCACCACCGCGUGGGUCCCCCUUUGGCUUGUUCGGAGGGGGGCUUACGUUUUCACACAAACUUUGUAUGCAGUGUAGAAUGUAUUUUUUGUUUUUGCGAUCACGCAUCAAUACAACUUUCAACAACGGAUCUCUUGGCUCUC
This 262-nucleotide unclassified non-coding RNA is filed under the name plant metagenome. Its description in RNAcentral is "partial contains small subunit ribosomal RNA, internal transcribed spacer 1, and 5.8S ribosomal RNA". The record is from RNAcentral.